UUAUCCCAUAUCCUUUCCCCUCCAAUUCUCCAAACCCCCACUUUACUCAUACCCAAAGUCACUUUUGUUCUUGCUCUCCUCUCACCACUCAGACUUCACAACCAAACCAUUCGUUUUCUGCUCUUUAACCAAAAUCCAAUCUUUGAACACAAACCGAUUCGUGGGUUUUCCGGAAAAGCAAUUGGGUUUUUGUUUGAAAGGAAGUUGAGGAUCGUUGAAAGGAAGUUAAGGGUUUUGUGAAUGCAAAAGAGGAUGGCAUUGAUGAAGCUGAGAAGCCAUGCAUGCUGAACCCAUUGGAACCGUUAAAAGCCUUCCAAAAACCGAGAGCACAGCUGCCAAAGCCCAAUUCUCUCUCUCCUCUCUGUGUGUUUUGCUUCCUUUCUCCAAAGGUCUUCGCUUUCUUAUGGUUUUGGGAUUUUGCUGCGCUCCCAAUUUCUCAAGUUUGAAGGAUCAAUGCUGGACCCAUUCCUGUGCUCUGUUACUUGUUAUUGAUGUCAAGUUGAAUCUGUCUGGAGUGGUGGUCAUUUGAGAUGCUUAUCUUGCUGUCCGGAAUUCUACAAAAUCCGGCUCUUGAAACUUCAGUUCUGUUUGUAUGGCACAUAAGGCGAGGGCUAGGAUAUAUGAGGGAAGCUCUCUCGAAGCUAAUGGAUUGCUGAACUAAGCAGAGAUUAACAAGUAGUAGUGAAGGAGUUGCUGUAUGCCUUUGUGCAUUGCUUUUGGCAACUAAAGCAUAUCAUAAAGCUCAUAAGAGCCCGUUUGAAUGUGAAUGACAUAUUAGUCAUCAACGUAGCGUGCUGAGAGUAUUGCUGCACAAAAUGUUGAUCAAAAUGUACACAGCUACUCUGACAAGUUUCUAGGCAAGAAAGAGCUCAUCUCCUUGUAAAGCAGCAAUUUUAUCCUAAUAAAAUGUUAGAAUUUUGUUCAAGAGGAGUUUUCAAGUUGGAACUAUUUUGCUUGAAGAAUAUCCAAUGGCUGCACCAGAGGUAGUUUGAUUAGGAGUCACUUUGAUCUGUGCCAAGGCUUUCUUGCUUUUUGUAUUGAUGUUGUUAGUUCUGCACAUUUGUUUUUAAUUGUUUGGUUUAAGAUAUGUACAAUUUAAGUUCAAUAAGAUUCAAGGAGAGUACCAAAUAGAA
Molecule: long non-coding RNA, 1133 nt
Organism: Rosa chinensis
Lineage: Eukaryota; Viridiplantae; Streptophyta; Magnoliopsida; Rosales; Rosaceae
Exons: 3
Source: RefSeq, a predicted model, not a curated record